Molecule: long non-coding RNA, 419 nt
Filed under: Elaeis guineensis (African oil palm)
Lineage: Eukaryota; Viridiplantae; Streptophyta; Magnoliopsida; Arecales; Arecaceae
Description: long non-coding RNA (EGUI_LNC079541)
Source: RNAcentral
GAAAUGACAUCCCUACAUUACAAAGAAUAAAAGCUUGAUUGUCAUCUCUGUUCUCCAUAAAGGUUUGGAAGGUUAUGAGAACCAUCCUUAAGUAUUUAUGAAAUACUAAGGACCAAUGACUCGUUUAUGAAAAAUCUGACUUAAAACCUAUGAAAUAUUGAUUCCAGUUUCUAGUCGGAUCGGAAUGAUAAAGUUGUGUCAGAUUAUAUUUUUAUCCUAAAAAGAGGAGCGACAUGUUGGAAAAGUUCCAUAUAGUAUUCAGUAGCCAAUUUUAUUUACGAUACGGAGUUCUUUAUGGUAUUUGAUACUGAUAAAAAAGUUGUUUGGUUAUGGAAGUUCAUUAGUUAGCUUGGAGAGGCACCCUCCAUUGAUGGUCCAAUCCUUCUGUUUGACAGUAGUACUGGAGCCAUAGCUCAAAC